Oncorhynchus keta (chum salmon) is the source of this 326-nucleotide long non-coding RNA. RefSeq lists it as uncharacterized. The transcript has 2 exons. The record is from RefSeq and is a predicted model, not a curated record. NCBI's taxonomy places the organism in Eukaryota, Metazoa, Chordata, Actinopteri, Salmoniformes, Salmonidae.
GUUCUGACCUUUAUUUCCUGUGUUUUGUAUUUAGUUAGUAUGGUCAGGGCGUGAGUUGGGUGGGCAGUCUAUGUUUGUUUUUCUAGGUUUUGGGAAUUUCUAUGUUUCGGCCUAGUAUGGUUCUCAAUCAGAGGCAGGUGUCAUUGGUUGUCUCUGAUUGAGAAUCAUACUUAGGUAGCCUGGGUUUCACUGUGUGUUUGUGGGUGAUUGUUCCUGUCUCUGUCUUUGCACCAGAUAGGACUGUUUUGAGUUUUCACAUUUCUUGUUUUUUUGUAGUCAGUUGUUCAUGUGUACCUUAACGUAUUAAAAAGAACCAUGGACAAUUA